This 446-nucleotide ribosomal RNA is filed under the name uncultured Leptolinea sp. RNAcentral describes it as "bacterial SSU rRNA". It matches the Rfam family "Bacterial small subunit ribosomal RNA", at positions 923 to 1382 of the family's 1533-position model. Lineage: Bacteria; Bacillati; Chloroflexota; Anaerolineae; Anaerolineales; Anaerolineaceae. The record is from RNAcentral.
GCACAAGCAGCGGAGCGUGUGGUUUAAUUCGAUGCUACACGAAGAACCUUACCAGGGUUUGACAUGCAAGUGGUAGGAAACCGCAAGGUGACCGACCCUUCGGGGAGCUUGCACAGGUGCUGCAUGGCUGUCGUCAGCUCGUGUCGUGAGAUGUUCGGUUAAGUCCGCUAACGAGCGCAACCCUCGCUGUGUGUUAUAUGUGUCACACGGGACUGCCGGUCUUAAGCCGGAGGAAGGUGGGGAUGAUGUCAAGUCAGCAUGGCCUUUAUAUCCUGGGCUACACACACGCUACAAUGGCCAGCACAGUAGGUUGCUAAGCCGCGAGGUGGAGCCAAUCCAUAAAGCUGGUCUCAGUUCAGAUUGCAGGCUGCAACCCGCCUGCAUGAAGAUGGAGUUGCUAGUAACCGCAGGUCAGCUAUACCGCGGUGAAUACGUUCCCGGGCCUU